UUGCUGACUUCGGCUCAAAAUGUCUGAUUUCCCUGUCCCAGGCGGCGAGACUCUGCACACAGGUGUGCACAGGGGACAGGUAGGCCCCUCAAACGGGAGCGUGUGCCUUGUACGCAGGCGUGACGGGAGAGAGCUUAAACACAGCGCCUGUGUGAAGGUGCGCAUGCUCACGCACACACACGCACGCACGCACACACACGGCCCUUAUCUGAAGGCAGUUCUGGCUGGAGGCUCCGAGCUGAAUUAGAGGUUGCGCAUAACGGAAUAUAUAUGAGACCAAUCUUGAUGACCCAGUGCAGCGUCAGCACCUCACUGAGGCCGUACGCUGGACUGCGAAGCUCAAUAAGUGACUGGAGCUCCUCCAGCUUGUGAUUGUAAUGGGUUUGAAUCAGUCGGGGGGGCCGGGGGGGCUUGAACCGGCACCCUCCCCCCGUGUACCUACAAUUAGCAUUUUCACAUCUGUGACGGUACCGUCCGGUACGUUCAGGUUUCAUUCGGGCACCUUUUUGCCCGAUUCUGGUGUUAAAUGCCCUUGUUGGGAAUUGUAGUUCUAUCGAGGGUGGACCCUGAAAAGCCCUGCUGCUGGGCUGUGUGAUAAAUGCUAAUGAACCUGCAACGCGCGCGCAUGUGUGUGCAUGAGUGUACGGGAAAGGUGUGUGUGUGUGCACGAGUUUUGAGAGAGGAAUGUGUGUGUGAGUAUGACAGACCUUCACUCUGUGAGAAAACUGUCCAGUUAUGUCCUGUUUUGUGUGUGUGCGAAAGAACUGUUUCACUGUGUGUACAGGAAUGAGGGAUGCAUAUGCACAAGAGAACUGUGUGUGUGUGUGUGUGUGUGUGUGUGUGUGUGUGCGCUCAUUUAGUGUGCAGAGAUGGAGGCGGAAGACCAUCCUGUCCAUUUCAAUUAGAAAGAACUGCUGACUACUGCUGCCCCCACUCUCUUUACCCCCUCUGACACACACACACACACACACACAAAUUAUCCCCUCUCCACUCACACCCUCACCUCUUAACACUCACUGUUUGUGUUCUUGCAGUGCACCUUAUAGCCAUACACUCACACACGUCUGCUCUCUCUCAAACUUGCGCUCUUAGGCAAAUAUAUGCAAGUGAGAUCAGCCAAUCUAAUCCUGCUGUAAUCUGUUGGCACUUCAAAACCAACUAAUCGGCAAUGAGACUUCCUGGAAUAAAUACAAAUGAAUAAGAAGUGCAAUCCUCAAACACGUCUUGAGCUGAAAAACGACUAACACGGUUCCAAAAAGUACAGAAAAAGAAACGGGACAUCGCAGCCAGUAAAAAUAAAAAAAUGCAAAAAUAUUUUUUUAGGAAAAAAACAUUUUAAUAGAGCCUUUUUACAGUCUUAGAAACGCAUUCACUUACAGCGGUACACUUUACUGUAUAAUAUAUUAACAACGUAAAGCAUUCUGGGUAAAUAUCAGUGUACACAGAGAACGAUCCCAAAGCAGCCUGAAGAAGCCGUACGAAGUGUACUCUCCCCGCCAAACCGCAGGACUGGCCCCCCCACCGGAGAGAGCGGGAUAUUAGCUAGACCUGCCAGGCUACCUCAGAGUACGCUGCUAUCGUUACACUGUCCCAUAAACCAUAGUGUCUUCAGCGCAGAGGGGCCCCCAGAAAGCUCGGAGAAGCAGCCUCCGCCACACCAGCGCUCUCCAGCUGCAGCUGAAAUCGUUAUC
This is a long non-coding RNA of Anguilla rostrata (American eel), 1691 nucleotides long. RefSeq lists it as uncharacterized. Lineage: Eukaryota; Metazoa; Chordata; Actinopteri; Anguilliformes; Anguillidae. The transcript is spliced from 2 exons. The record is from RefSeq and is a predicted model, not a curated record.